GCCUGUAAUCUCCUGCUCUGGGAGGCUGACACCAACAGCAUUCAAGUUCAGGAUUUCUGAACUGCAGUAGCACUAAAGCUGACUGGGUAUCUACACUAGUCUAGCACAAAGAUGGUGAGCCCCUGAGAGCAGGGAGAUACCAGAUUGCCAAAGGAGGAGCUAGUUGGCUCAGGUCAGAAAUGGAGCAGGUCAAAGCUUCUGUGCAAUGGGGAUGGGGCCCAUGAGUGGCCCCUGCACUCCCAGCCUGGGAAAGACAAGGAGACCAAGUUUCA
RNAcentral lists this signal recognition particle RNA (272 nucleotides) under Phascolarctos cinereus (koala). RNAcentral's name for it is "Metazoan signal recognition particle RNA (ENSPCIG00000007504.2)". It matches the Rfam family "Metazoan signal recognition particle RNA". Rfam says of the family: The signal recognition particle (SRP) is a universally conserved ribonucleoprotein. It is involved in the co-translational targeting of proteins to membranes. Lineage: Eukaryota; Metazoa; Chordata; Mammalia; Diprotodontia; Phascolarctidae. The record is from RNAcentral.